UACGGAGGGUGCAAGCGUUGUCCGGAUUUAUUGGGUUUAAAGGGUGCGUAGGCGGCCUUAUAAGUCAGUGGUGAAAGCCCAUCGCUCAACGAUGGAACUGCCAUUGAUACUGUAAGGCUUGAGUACAGACGAGGUAGGCGGAAUUGAUGGUGUAGCGGUGAAAUGCAUAGAUACCAUCAAGAACACCGAUUGCGUAGACAGCUUACUAGGCUGUAACUGACGCUGAGGCACGAAAGCGUGGGGAGCGAACAGG
RNAcentral lists this ribosomal RNA (253 nucleotides) under uncultured bacterium. RNAcentral's name for it is "partial 16S ribosomal RNA". It matches the Rfam family "Bacterial small subunit ribosomal RNA", at positions 524 to 776 of the family's 1533-position model. The record is from RNAcentral.